Vigna unguiculata (cowpea) is the source of this 472-nucleotide long non-coding RNA. RefSeq lists it as uncharacterized. Lineage: Eukaryota; Viridiplantae; Streptophyta; Magnoliopsida; Fabales; Fabaceae. The record is from RefSeq and is a predicted model, not a curated record.
UUGAUAUUCAUUCUCUUAAAAUUUCGCAUCUAUACAAAAUCUUGGGCUAGAGUGUAGAGACUUCGAAAAAAGUUAUGGGGAAAAAUAUAAUGAAAAGUGCUAGAAUUGCAAUUUUGAUGAUAAUUAUGAUGUCUUUUGUACAAAUUCUAGAGGCAGACCAACUCUCAUGUAUUAAAUUAUGUGCUGUUGAUUGUUUACCAGAUCAAGUUCAUUAUUAUCAAUGUUUUAUAGCCUGUACUAAACGAUGUCCACCACACACCGGUGCCUCCAAUUGUAUUAAAAGCUGUGGUGUAAACAAGACCAUCACCGUUGAUAUGGAUGCUGGUGGUAAGAUCACUAAUGUGGUUGAUUCUUGUUUGGAAAAUUGUCUCAAGUGACAAUAACUUUGUAAGAACAUGAGAGCAAGAUUAGACAUGUUUCUCAUAUGAUGGUAAUAAAAAUAUGAAAAAAAUAAAAUUUUAGAUCUUGUUUU